AGUGAACGCUGGCGGUAGGCCUAACACAUGCAAGUCGAACGGCAGCACAGUAAGAGCUUGCUCUUACGGGUGGCGAGUGGCGGACGAGUGAGGAAUACAUCGGAAUCUACUUUUUCGUGGGGGAUAACGUAGGGAAACUUACGCUAAUACCGCAUACGACCUACGGGUGAAAGCAGGGGAUCUUCGGACCUUGCGCGAUUGAAUGAGCCGAUGUCGGAUUAGCUAGUUGGCGGGGUAGAGGCCCACCAAGGCGACGAUCCGUAGCUGGUCUGAGAGGAUGAUCAGCCACACUGGAACUGAGACACGGUCCAGACUCCUACGGGAGGCAGCAGUGGGGAAUAUUGGACAAUGGGCGCAAGCCUGAUCCAGCCAUACCGCGUGGGUGAAGAAGGCCUUCGGGUUGUAAAGCCCUUUUGUUGGGAAAGAAAAGCAGCAGGUUAAUACCCCGCUGUUCUGACGGUACCCAAAGAAUAAGCACCGGCUAACUUCGUG
RNAcentral lists this ribosomal RNA (492 nucleotides) under uncultured bacterium. RNAcentral's name for it is "partial 16S ribosomal RNA". It matches the Rfam family "Bacterial small subunit ribosomal RNA", at positions 29 to 507 of the family's 1533-position model. The record is from RNAcentral.